This 673-nucleotide ribosomal RNA is filed under the name uncultured bacterium. RNAcentral describes it as "bacterial SSU rRNA". It matches the Rfam family "Bacterial small subunit ribosomal RNA", at positions 74 to 763 of the family's 1533-position model. The record is from RNAcentral.
UUACCUUCGGGUAAUGAGGAUGGCGGACGGGUGAGUAACGCGUAAGGAACUUGCCUCUUGGACUGGGACAACUGUUGGAAACGACAGCUAAUACCGGAUAUUAUGAGAUUCUCGCAUGAGAAACUUAUGAAAGCUAUAUGCGCCAAGAGAGAGCCUUGCGUUCCAUUAGCUAGUUGGUGGGGUAACGGCCCACCAAGGCGACGAUGGAUAGCCGGCCUGAGAGGGUGAACGGCCACAAGGGGACUGAGACACGGCCCUUACUCCUACGGGAGGCAGCAGUGGGGAAUAUUGGACAAUGGGCCACAAGCCUGAUCCAGCAAUUCUGUGUGCACGAUGAAGGUCUUCGGAUUGUAAAGUGCUUUCAGUUGGGAAGAAGAAAGUGACGGUACCAACAGAAGAAGCGACGGCUAAAUACGUGCCAGCAGCCGCGGUAAUACGUAUGUCGCAAGCGUUAUCCGGAUUUAUUGGGCGUAAAGCGCGUCUAGGCGGAAAAAUAAGUCUGAUGUUAAAAUGCGGGGCUCAACUCCGUAUUGCGUUGGAAACUGUUUUUCUAGAGUACUGGAGAGGUGGGCGGAACUACAAGUGUAGAGGUGAAAUUCGUAGAUAUUUGUAGGAAUGCCGAUGGAGAAGUCAGCUCACUGGACAGAUACUGACGCUGAAGCGCGAAAGCGUG